This 497-nucleotide ribosomal RNA is filed under the name uncultured bacterium. RNAcentral describes it as "partial 16S ribosomal RNA". It matches the Rfam family "Bacterial small subunit ribosomal RNA", at positions 28 to 507 of the family's 1533-position model. The record is from RNAcentral.
GAUGAACGCUGGCGGCGUGCCUAAUACAUGCAAGUCGAGCGAACGGACGAGAAGCUUGCUUUUCUGAUGUUAGCGGCGGACGGGUGAGUAACACGUGGAUCACCUACCUAUAAGACUGGGAUAACUUCGGGAAACCGGAGCUAAUACCGGAUAAUCUUUUGAACCGCAUGGUUCAAAAGUGAAAGACGGUCUUGCUGUCACUUAUAGAUGGAUCCGCGCUGCAUUAGCUAGUUGGUAAGGUUACGGCUUACCAAGGCAACGAUGCAUAGCCGACCUGAGAGGGGGGUAGGCCGCCCUGGAACGUGACCGCGGACCAGGGGACUGAGGGAGGGAGCAGAAGGGAAUCGUACGCAAUGGGGGGAAAUCUGACGGAAGGAGGCGGAGUGAGUGAUGGAGGUGCUGCGUGCGGAAAACCCUGUUUCUAGGGAAGAACAUAUGUGGAAGUAGCUGUGCACAGCGUGACGGUACCUAAUCAGAAAGCCACGGCUAACUACGUG